GGAGAGGUGUCCGAGUCAGGCUGAAGGAGCACGCCUGGAAAGUGUGUGUACGCUAACACGUACCGAGGGUUCGAAUCCCUCCCUCUCCG
Molecule: transfer RNA, 89 nt
Filed under: Seleniivibrio woodruffii
Lineage: Bacteria; Pseudomonadati; Deferribacterota; Deferribacteres; Deferribacterales; Geovibrionaceae
Rfam family: tRNA
About the family: Transfer RNA (tRNA) molecules are approximately 80 nucleotides in length. Their secondary structure includes four short double-helical elements and three loops (D, anti-codon, and T loops).
Source: Rfam by way of RNAcentral